UGAGGAAUAUUGGUCAAUGGGCGCGAGCCUGAACCAGCCAAGUAGCGUGAAGGAUGAAGGUCCUAUGGAUUGUAAACUUCUUUUAUAGCAGAAUAAAGUGACCCACGUGUGGGUUUUUGUAUGUAUGCUAUGAAUAAGGAUCGGCUAACUCCGUGCCAGCAGCCGCGGUAAUACGGAGGAUCCGAGCGUUAUCCGGAUGUAUUGGGUUUAAAGGGUGCGUAGGCGGAAAGAUAAGUCAGCCUGUGAAAGUUUGCGGCUCAACCGUAAAAUUGCAGUUGGUACUGUUUUUCUUGAGUGUACAUAAGGUAGGCGGAAUUCGUGGUGUAGCGGUGAAAUGCUUAGAUAGCACGAAGAACUCCGAUUGCGAAGGCAGCUUACCGGGGUACAACUGACGCUGAUGCACGAAAGUGUGGGUAUCAAACA
This 423-nucleotide ribosomal RNA is filed under the name uncultured bacterium. Its description in RNAcentral is "bacterial SSU rRNA". It matches the Rfam family "Bacterial small subunit ribosomal RNA", at positions 355 to 774 of the family's 1533-position model. The record is from RNAcentral.